UAGGGAAUCUUCCACAAUGGACGCAAGUCUGAUGGAGCAACGCCGCGUGAGUGAAAAAGGUUUUCGGAUCGUAAAGCUCUGUUGUUGGUGAAGAAGGAUAGAGGUAGUAACUGGCCUUUAUUUGACGGUAAUCAACCAGAAAGUCACGGCUAACUACGUGCCAGCAGCCGCGGUAAUACGUAGGUGGCAAGCGUUGUCCGGAUUUAUUGGGCGUAAAGCGAGCGCAGGCGGAAGAAUAAGUCUGAUGUGAAAGCCCUCGGCUUAACCGAGGAACUGCAUCGGAAACUGUUUUUCUUGAGUGCAGAAGAGGAGAGUGGAAUUCCAUGUGUAACGGUGGAAUGCGUAGAUAUAUGGAAGAACACCAGUGGCGAAGGCGACUCUCUGGUCUGCAACUGACGCUGAGGCUCGAAAGCAUGGGUAGCGAACAGG
This 429-nucleotide ribosomal RNA is filed under the name bacterium. Its description in RNAcentral is "partial 16S ribosomal RNA". It matches the Rfam family "Bacterial small subunit ribosomal RNA", at positions 355 to 776 of the family's 1533-position model. The record is from RNAcentral.